CACAACUAUUUUGGUAGGGGCUACUGAACAAGGACGUGCUCACAGGAGAUGUCAUAUCCCCCCAUGUACUUUUUUUUUUGUGCAUUUGUUUGAAGUUCCUUGGUAGUUUCAGUUUUCUUCAUAGAAAAAAAAAGUGUAGUGCAGAGUAAAAAGAAACUAAAUACAGACAACUUUAAUGUAAAAAACAAUUUUUAACUCUAAAAACAAAAAUAAAAUUGACAUAUUUGUGUUAAAUGAGACGUAGCACGAUGUUAAUUCUUGUAAUAUUUAUAUAUACCUGAAAAGAAUACGUUU
Non-coding RNA from Cinara cedri, 294 nucleotides. Lineage: Eukaryota; Metazoa; Arthropoda; Insecta; Hemiptera; Aphididae. The record is from the annotation of a GenBank genome assembly.